GAUGAACGCUGGCGGCGUGCCUAAUACAUGCAAGUCGAACGUAUUGUGGUUGAAAUGAUAUGAAGAACUUGUUCAGAUUUGAUUUUCAACAUUGCAAUGAGUGGCGAACGGGUGAGUAACACGUGGGAAACCUACCUCUUAGCAGGGGAUAACAUUUGGAAACAAAUGCUAAUACCGUAUAAUAAUUAAAACCGCAUGGUUUUAGUUUAAAAGAUGGUCUUGCUAUCACUAAGAGAUGGUCCCGCGGUGUAUUAGUUAGUUGGUGAGGUAAUGGCUCACCAAGACAAUGAUACAUAGCCGAGUUGAGAGACUGACCGGCCACAAUGGGACUGAGACACGGCCCAUACUCCUACGGGAGGCAGCAGUAGGGAAUCUUCCACAAUGGACGAAAGUCUGAUGGAGCAACGCCGCGUGUGUGAUGAAGGGUUUCGGCUCGUAAAACACUGUUGUAAGAGAAGAAUGACAUUGAGAGUAACUGUUCAAUGUGUGACGGUAUCUUACCAGAAAGGAACGGCUAAAUACGUGCCAGCAGCCGCGGUAAUACGUAUGUUCCAAGCGUUAUCCGGAUUUAUUGGGCGUAAAGCGAGCGCAGACGGUUAUUUAAGUCUGAAGUGAAAGCCCUCGGCUCAACCGAGGAAUUGCUUUGGAGACUGGAUAACUUGAGUGCAGUAGAGGAAAGUGGAACUCCAUGUGUAGCGGUGAAAUGCGUAGAUAUAUGGAAGAACACCAGUGGCGAAGGCGGCUUUCUGGACUGUAACUGACGUUGAGGCUCGAAAGUGUGGGUAGCAAACAGGAUUAGAUACCCUGGUAGUCCACACUGUAAACGAUGAGUGCUAGUUGUUCGAGGGUUUCCGCCCUUG
This 860-nucleotide ribosomal RNA is filed under the name uncultured Weissella sp. RNAcentral describes it as "bacterial SSU rRNA". It matches the Rfam family "Bacterial small subunit ribosomal RNA", at positions 28 to 841 of the family's 1533-position model. The record is from RNAcentral. Lineage: Bacteria; Bacillati; Bacillota; Bacilli; Lactobacillales; Lactobacillaceae.